This 112-nucleotide ribosomal RNA is filed under the name Enterococcus faecium. Lineage: Bacteria; Bacillati; Bacillota; Bacilli; Lactobacillales; Enterococcaceae. The record is from RNAcentral.
UGUGGUGGCGAUAGCGAGAAGGAUACACCUGUAACCAUGCCGAAUACAGAAGCUGCUUUUAGCGCUGAUUGCAGUGAGGGGCUGCCCUUGUGAGAGUAGGACGUCGCCACGC